RNAcentral lists this transfer RNA (77 nucleotides) under Acidobacteriota bacterium. RNAcentral's name for it is "tRNA-Arg". It matches the Rfam family "tRNA". Rfam says of the family: Transfer RNA (tRNA) molecules are approximately 80 nucleotides in length. Lineage: Bacteria; Pseudomonadati; Acidobacteriota. The record is from RNAcentral.
GGGGGUGUAGCUCAGUUGGAUAGAGCAUCGGAUUUCUAAUCCGACGGUCGGGGGUUCGAGUCCCUCCACCCCUGCCA